UUGCUUGCUUUGGCAGCACGUAUACUAAAAUUGGAACAAUAUAGAGGAGAUUAGCAUGGCGCCUUUACCAGGAUGGCAUGCAAAUUAGUGAAGCGCUCCAUAAAAAU
Molecule: small nuclear RNA, 107 nt
Organism: Chlorocebus sabaeus (green monkey)
Lineage: Eukaryota; Metazoa; Chordata; Mammalia; Primates; Cercopithecidae
Source: Ensembl